RNAcentral lists this ribosomal RNA (249 nucleotides) under uncultured bacterium. RNAcentral describes it as "partial 16S ribosomal RNA". It matches the Rfam family "Bacterial small subunit ribosomal RNA", at positions 524 to 776 of the family's 1533-position model. The record is from RNAcentral.
UACGUAGGGCAAGCGUUGUCCGGAAUUAUUGGCGUAAGCGCGCGCAGGCGGCCUCUUAAGUCUGAUGUGGAAUCUUGCGGCUCAACCGUAAGCGGUCAUUGGAAACUGGGAGACUUGAGUACAGAAGAGGAGAGUGGAAUUCCAUGUGUAGCGGUGAAAUGCGUAGAUAUAUGGAGGAACACCAGUGGCGAAGGCGACUCUCUGGUCUGUAACUGACGCUGAGGCGCGAAAGCGUGGGGAGCAAACAGG